ACUGUAAGGCCAUAAGGUUCAAAAUAGAAUAAUCAUAACAUGAGAGUGGGGUAUAGAAUACCCAAAACAACUGUAAUACUAUUCGAAACCUGAACAUACUAGUCUGAAAAGCCUCUAACAUGACUGUUUGAAUAGGGAGUUGAUGGGACAUGUCCCCAACUAACUCCGACUAACAAACCUGAACUAAAAUAAACUAUAACAUAAGUAAUGAUCAUGCCCUCGAGAGACGAGGACUCACUGCUGGAACUCUGAUAGCUGAGAUGCUACUGCUACUUCUGGUCUAGAAAUCGUGGAUCUGAACCUAUGGUGUAACAUAAAAGAAAGCACCAUAGCGCGAAUGCGUCAGUAUAACUGAGAGUACUGAGUAUAUGAGUGAGGUAGGCUAAAUGCAAAGGGUUUGUAUGCAUGAAUAAUACUGACUGAUAUGAACGUGAGAACACAAACAUACAUAAGUAACUGCUACUGAACUCGUGACGAUACUUACUACUAAGUUUGAAUACUGACAACAUGAGUUUACUGGUUUCGAGAUACUAAAUGACUGGGUUUACUGAUAUUGAUCUGUGAAUCACUAAUAAGUGAGGAACUGAUACUGUAUUACUGAAUACCAGGAGACUAAUACUUUAUUAAUAAUAAAGGAAUAAUUGUUUCUGCCAGUCCUGAUUAUGAAAGACUGGUAUAAUUGACUGUAUCUGACAGUCCUGAAACUGAGUACUGAUAGCAUGAGUUUACUGAAAUCUAAUAUGACUAGCAAAUAAUUUCUGAUAGCUGAUAUAGCUGAUAACAUGAGUGACUAUAUCUGAUAGCCUUGAUACUGGAUACUGAUAACAUGGGUGACUGUAGCUGACAACCCUAAAUCUGAUGGAACUAUCUGAGUUCCAUACUAUAUCUGAGUUGACUGUAUCUGACAGUCCUGAUAUUCUGAAGAACUAUCUGAGUUCUUUUACUGAGACUGAAUGACUGAAACCAUGAGAGGUAGUAGUUUAACCGACAUGCCCCAUAUAUGCUAAUAUAGCUGAACUGGGGUCCUAUCCUUGCGCUGAUUGAAAGGGUGUCAAUAUCGUGCCACGGGUAAAGACAAGCUGUGAGUGACCCUCAAAUGUUUUAUUUAAAGUAGUAUAUAUUUAUUGAAUGGUGUGUACAUAUGUAUAUAUAUCUUCUAUAGACGUAUAUAUUUAACGUAUAAAUGUGUAUAUGUUUUAUAAAUUAGUAUAUAACUAUAUUUAUACAUUGUAGUAUAUAUAUAUGACAGUAUAUUUUAUUUAAAGUAGUACAUAUAUAUUGAAUGGUGCGUAUAUAUCUUCUAUAAAUGUAUAUAUUUACCGUAUACAUGUGUAUAUAUUUUAUUUAAAGUAGUACAUAUAUGUUGAAUGGUGCGUAUAUAUGUGUAUAUAUUCUCUAUAAACGUAUAUAUUUUACCUAUACAUGUGUCUAUGGUUUAUAAAUUAGUAUAUAACUAUAUAUAUAUAUAUAUAUAUUGUAGUAUAUUUUAUUUAAAGUAGCACAUAUAUUUUGAAGGGUGCGUAUAUANNNNNNNNNNNNNNNNNNNNNNNNNNNNNNNNNNNNNNNNNNNNNNNNNNNNNNNNNNNNNNNNNNNNNNNNNNNNNNNNNNNNNNNNNNNNNNNNNNNNNNNNNNNNNNNNNNNNNNNNNNNNNNNNNNNNNNNNNNNNNNNNNNNNACUAUAUAUAUAUAUAUAUAUAUUGUAGUAUAUGUUUUAUUUAAGUAGUAUAUAUAUAUAUAUUAAAUGGUGCGUAUAUAUAAGAAUAUAUCUUCUAAAGUAGUAUAUAUUUGACAUAUACAUGUGUAUAUGUUUUAUAAAUUUGUAUAUAUCUAUAUAUAUAUAUAUAUAUAUAUAUAUGUAUGUAUUUUAGUAUAUAUUAUUUAAAGUAGCACAUAUAUAUUGAAUGGUGCGUAUAUGUGUAUAUAUCUUCUAUAGAUGUAUAUAUUUAAUGUAUACAUGUGUAUAUGUAACGUAUACAUGUGUAUAUGUUCCAACAAUCCUGAUUUGGACUCUUACAGCUGCCAUGCUUUGGCCCUUUAUAUAGUAACUAUGAAUUCACUUAAUCCACAACUGAUCUUGUUUUGCGCCACAUCCCAACACAUCUUAAUAAUGGAUGCUUUGUUCCAUAAUUUGAGGUUCAGUAAAUUCAGGCCUCCAACAGUUUUUUGGGUGCUCAUUUUAUCCCAAGCAACAAGGGCUCUCUUAGUGAUGGUAUUUGUCCCUAACCAGAUAUAACUCCUGCAGUAAACUUGAAUUGCUUUUAUCACCUUAGCAAGUAUCACAAACAGUUGUGCCCAGUAAGCUUGAACUCCAAAAAGUACUGAUCUAACAAAUUGUACUCUCACAGCGUGCAACUUCUUCGCGGUCCAUGAAGAUACUUUAGCAAUAACUUGAUCAAUCAGAUGCUGCCAUUGCAUGAUAGUGAGUUUCUUAGUAGAGAGAGAAACUCCAAGAAAUUUAAAGGGAAGUUAUCCAUUGCUAUAUCCUAAUUGUAAUUGGAUUUGAGUCGUUUCUGCUUCUGAAAUAUCUCCAAAAUACAAUGCACUCUUGGAUAAGUUAGCUUGUAGCCUUAAAGCAGCAGUGAAGGUGAUAAUUUUUUCAUGUAGCAAUAUAACUGAUGCGAGAUCACCUUUAGAGAACAAAAGUAAAUCGUCCACAAAGCUCAAAUGUGUGAUCUUUUAGUCUGCCACACAGAGGAUGAUAUUUAAAUUGUUUAUUAAGCUUUAAUAUGAUCAAAUUCCUACUUAAAUACUCCAUUACCAUCGUAAACAGGAAAUGGAAUAAGGAUCCCCUUGCUAAAGACCUCUUGCCGCUUUAAAAGGCCUUGUAAGUUCUCCAUUAAUUAUGAUAGAAUAAGUCACUGUGGUUAAACAUUGCAUCACCCAACCAAUAAACUUUGUAGGAAAGCCUAAUCCCGACAUUACCUGCUCCAGGAAGUUCCAAUCCACAGAUCAUACGCUUUUUGGAUGUCCAUCUUGAUCAUAUAUGUUUCCUGCUAUAAGACUUCACUAACUCAUGAGAAAUUAUGAUAUUGUCAGCCACCUUUCUACCUGGUAUGAAGCCAGCUUGAGUUUCUGAGACCACAGAUGCUACCACAUAUGGAUUCUAUUAUCCAGCACCUUAGCUAUUAGCUUAUACACAGUAGAGCAACAUGAUAUGGGCCGGUAUUGUUUAAAACUUGUAGGAUUGGGCACCUUAGACAAUAAGGUUAUUAUGGUACAAUUUACUGGCUUAUAUAAUGUUCUAGUGGAAAAAAAUUCUUCCCAGCUUUAUUCACAUCACUUUGGAUCACUUGCUAAGCUUUUAAAAUUUUUUUUUGCAUUAUAUCCAUCUACUUCGGGUGCCUUGUCAUCUCCAAUUGAGUGUAAACCACCAUAAAUUUCUUCAUCUGUCACUUCGAUACAUAAGGCUAACUGUUGGGCAUGACUUAAAGUUGGACCUCUCUACAUAACAUUUUUAUUAACUGCAGUAGUGUGAACAGUUGCUGUACCCGUGAGCUAUUUGUUGGAGGAGAUUAUUUCUUCACUAAUAGCUGUAGGUUCCACCAAUUUUGCCCCACUAUCAGUAGUGAGUUCAACAAUUUGUUUUCUGUGUCGUCUCUCUUUAAUUACAAAAGUGAAGUAUUUUGUAUUUGAAUCACCUAAUUUUAUCCACAAGGCUCUUGACUUUUGACAUUGGAUGCUUUCCUCUAUGCCAUAUCAUUUUUCAAGCUGGAGCAGUAAUUUUUUCUUAUCUUCUACACUAUCAUCAAAGUAACUACUGCUCAGUUGUUGCUGAAUGUUAGUCAAGGCAUCUCUAACGAAUUCAAUCUUCUCCAUGACUCUUCUAUAUUCUUUGUUGUUCAGCUGUCUUAACGGCAACUUUAAAUUCUUCAAAUUUUGCCCGAAACAUUUAAGAGCGUCACCUUUCCAUCUACUUUUCCAACUUCUUUGAACUAUGGUAAUAAAACCAUCAUGUUGCGUUCUUAUAUUAAAGAACCUGAAUGAGGUUUUAACGUUGGUAAGUUGGAGCUGAAUGUCCAUCACAAGAGGGGAAUGGUCGUAUAUGUGUGGCAACCUGAUACCAAGGACUAAGUGGCCAUACUUAAGCAUCCACUCAUCAUUCCCUAGGGCUUUAUCAAGCUUACUAGAAAUCCUAGCCAUCCCAAAUUGCUUGUUAUUCCAUGAGUAAUGGAGACCCUUCUAGAGAAUUACACUUAGCAUUAGAUCCUGAACACAAUCUCCAAAAUCUUGAAUCUCUACUUUGGUAACUGUUGCACCACCAAGUCGAUCUUGGCAUUGUAGUAUGACAUUAAAAUCACCCCAUAUAAGCCAUGUCAUCGUGAUUGAAGUAGCAACAUUCCUCAAUUCGACCCAUAAUUCCUUUCUUAAUUUGAUAGAAUUAAAACCAUACACUACAGUCAUACAACAUGCUACUUCCUUGUCGCUGCUUAAGACUUCACAAUGAAUGUAUUGAGCAUUUUGCUUAAUCAAUUGACCUCAUAUACUAUUGCAUCCCAUCCAACCCAUAGUUGACCAUUGCCAACACUAGCAUAAUUGUGAAAAAAACACCAGCCAGGUAUUACUUCAUUUGCUACUACCUCUACCUUAUUUUCUUUAACUCUGGUUUCUACUAAGCCUGCAAGCUUUAUAUGAUUAUCUUUAAUGUAUUUAUUCAGCUUCCUCUGCUUAUACUUCUUAUUAAUACCUCAAACAUUCCAUGCUAACCAGGACAUUAGAGAGAAGAUAAAGGCCCACCACCUUUAUUUUGUGGUGAAUUAUAAGCCAACACAACCUGAUUAGUUUGUAAAACCUCGAAACCAUUUUUGUGAUCGCCCAUAAAACUUGAGCAUAGCCUUUAGGGCCACUACUUUCAGCCACAUUUUUCCACUUGAUGCUCUGUUUACUCUUACCUAUGACAGGUGUAAAAACUUCAGUUGAGUUAGUUGUGUUCAUAGGUGCUUGUUGCAUCACCUCUUUUUCCCGAGGCUGAUGAAUAGCCGAUUUUGCAACUUCUUUAGGCAACCAGGUAGGUAUCAUUUUUGGUUGGGUUUUAGGAGGUUGAGGUGGUUUUGCUUUAGGUAAAGUGGGCUGCUGGGGUUUCUCCUUCAAACACGAGUACCCUACCACUAUACAAUCUUCUCAAUACUCUGGUUUUCAAUAAAACAUGAUGGGUUGUUUGAAAGUUUGACCGUGUGCAUUCAUAACUGUAAUAUCAUUGGGGAUCGAUUUAGUGAUGUCAACCUCAAUUAACAUCCUUGAAUAAGAGAUCCUAGUUUGCUUAGAUGUACAUUCAUCAGCGAACAAAGGUAUCCCGAUAACACUUGUAAUCCGACUAAGCGAAUCACAACUCCGGCAGUUCAAAGGCAAUUUGGGUAGUGUUACCCACAAAUAUAUUUUUGUACGGAAUUCUGAUUUAAAGUCAAGUUGGGGCAUCCAUUGUUUCAAUAUCAGAGGUUACUAUUGAUACUAUAUGGUUCUGUAAAAAGGAUCUCUUUCAUAUCAACUUUCGAUUGAAAUUUCACUAGAUAGUAGCCUUCAUCAUGAUAGUAUAAAUCUGGUGCAACAACAUUGGUCUAAGUUUGUGAUAUAUACUGUUUCAUGUAGUUAUAGCCUGGCAUAUCCCCAAUAACAUAUAAAACCAACGAAUACCUCCAUUUUGUUUCCUCCUGUUCUUGUUCCAGCUUUUUUAUCUUCACAACCGGGCUUUAAUUAACCAGUUCAGAGGGGAUGUAAUUUAACGUCAUACAAUUUGUUGCAACUCGAUUACCAGCAAAUAGAUUCACCCAUAGAUUUACCUUAGUGUAAACCUCGGGAGGGGAUGUUAUCCUAAUAUUUCCCCCUUAUUUUCUAGAUCUACACUUCGUACACUCGCUAGAUCAGUAUUCAAUGGAACAGUGUUUGACAGAACAAUAGGUGUUGAGCUAACACUCUCUAUUGAAGAUGAGUGGACGUCGCCUUGAGCAAUUUUUGGACUCCUAUGUAAAUUUUGAUGGUUGGAAUUCGAGGUACCUGCUUGGUCAUUGCUUCGCGAACCAGAAUUCACCUUCCUCAACAAACCGCUAUUCAUUGAUGCUUCGCUAGCCUGCAAACAAAGGUCCUUCAGCUGAGAUCCAGCAUGCUUGGAGCUUCCUGAGUUCCCAAAGUGAGUAAUUAGUUCCUUUCGUGGUGUCCCUCUUCGUCUCUGACCCACCAUAUUCACCCCGGCAUAUGAUAGCAACUCCUACGCCGAGAGGAGAGAAAAGAGAGGGUUUCCAUUUUUAUCUUUGAAUAAUUAGCAGUUUAUACAGAAAUUUAUUUGUUCAACCAAGCCUUUAGUAUGUAUUUGAAUAACUCACCGAAUUAGUGAGUUUUAUUAAAUAGAUUCUUGAAACAAGCUUGACAAUAAUUAUAUGAGUUAUUCAACUAUAAAAUAA
RNAcentral lists this long non-coding RNA (6392 nucleotides) under Capsicum annuum. RNAcentral describes it as "long non-coding RNA (CANN_LNC007983)". Lineage: Eukaryota; Viridiplantae; Streptophyta; Magnoliopsida; Solanales; Solanaceae. The record is from RNAcentral.